Molecule: long non-coding RNA, 932 nt
Filed under: Gorilla gorilla gorilla (western lowland gorilla)
Lineage: Eukaryota; Metazoa; Chordata; Mammalia; Primates; Hominidae
Description: lncRNA (ENSGGOG00000044242.1)
Source: RNAcentral
UCUCCAGGUCUGUUUCAACAUGGGACAUAUCACUUUAGCCAAAAAAUUGGCUAGGAAAGCCCUUCAACUGCUGAAAAGGAAUUUCCCUUGGACCUGGUUUGGUGUCCUUUUCCAGACAUUCCUGGAAAAUAUUGGCAUUCCUGUACCCUGAGCCAACCUCCAAACGACCCUAGUGAGAAUAAGAAGAAUUUGGCAGUCCUGCAGCAGCAGGUGCAUUGCCUCUCCCUACUCUGGCAGCUCUAUAACCUGGAGGCCACAGCCAGUAGCUACAGGUUUGCCUGCCUGGCUACUCUUAUGCAGAAGAAUUCAGCUGAUGAGUUUGCAAAUGAAGCCCAGGUUGUCUCUACCUAUGUGGAGCUCUCUCAGUUCUCCCAGAGCGUGGGCAUCAAGGACAAGUGGCUGCACUGUGAGCAGAUGGCCAUUCAGAAAAGCAGUUUAUGUUGGUUCUCCAGCGGGGGGGGGUUGUUGGCCACAGCUCAGCUCAUGCAGGCCCUGGCCUACACCAAGCUCUGCCUUGGCCAUCUUGACUUCUCCAUCAAGCUGGGUAAUGGGACUUAGGGAUGGUUGGUCUAGGGCUUUUAGAGAGUACAUGUUCACAGCUAGACCUCACAUGGUGCUCUUGAACCUCCUCAGGUUUUCAAGCUCGUGAGAUAUGCAGACACCUCCAGAAACCAGCUCUGGAGAAUCUGAUUCUCUCAGUUCUCUUCAGAUCUGCAUUUCUGAAGAAGAAGUAUUAAGAUCAUUUUCCGUCAUUUGUAUUUGUUUCCUAAGAGGGGUGUGUAUAUUUUUCCAGAGAAGUUUGGAGUGGAGAGGGAGAUGCUGUUCCAUUUCCACAUCCUGGGAUAUCCUUCCCUUGGCCACUCCAGACACAUUAUCUUAAGUGUGGAAGAGUCAGGAGUGGAAAUGCAGAGUCAGAGCUACUAUAUAUUCCU